Molecule: long non-coding RNA, 1019 nt
Filed under: Cavia porcellus (domestic guinea pig)
Lineage: Eukaryota; Metazoa; Chordata; Mammalia; Rodentia; Caviidae
Description: lncRNA (ENSCPOG00000034173.1)
Source: RNAcentral
ACACUGAGCUUUGCUUUACUGUUUUAUUAAUUAAAGCAUAAACGCUCCAAGAGGGAGGUCUUCUUAUACCAGUUCAGCAAAUUUAUCUCAAAUUAUGCUCAGGGAAUAGUAAUACCUUAAGCAGGAAGAGACUUGGGGCAAGCAGAUAAUGUUGAAGAAGGAAGAGAAAAGAAGGAAGAGAAGAAGGAGGAAGAGGAAGAAAACAGAAGAAGAGGAAGAGGAGGAGGAGGGAGGCAGAAGAUGAAGAGAGAAGGGAGAGAGGAAGGAAGGGUCCCCUGUGGCCAGUCCUCCUCCGCUCACUUCUUCCUCCCGCCGAGAACUUGCCCAGGCCACACUAGCGGCCUCAGCUUCCACCAUUCUGCAAAGGCUGAGCUGGCUUUGAAUCACCGGCAAGUUUCAGCUUUCCACGCGUAAAGCGAGCUCCCCAAACUCUGCUAUGACUACGCUGCUUUCCGCACCGUGAAGGAAAUGAUCUUUUAAAAGGUUUAAUAAGGAGAGGGGAAAACAGUCUCCUCCGGCCUUUCCAGAAGACAGGGGCCAUGUCCCCAAACAGCCUGCUGGCUCUCAACCUCCAAGACUUGCUGAUUGUGCCAGGGAAGGAAAUAUGCCUGUAAUUGCUCAUCCGGGUAAUAUUUAAAUUAAAGACUGGAUUUCAAGCUCAAUUUAAGCACUACAUUUGGAUGAUUUUAAGAAGGAAAUUUUGCCUGUGAAAAUGCUGCUUGCUUUACAGAAAGACCCAAUGACAUGCUCUGACAACUUCUACAGUGGGUGGAAAGCGGUUGCGUAUUUCUGAAUGAAGAUGUGUAGAGUUCAGGUGAGUAAACGAAACAAGUCUAUUCUUCUCUUUAAGCUCUCAUUACUGUGCACAGAAAUUCUCUGUAAUUCCCUUUUAUUCCUUGUUUAUAUUUUGGCAUCAUUUUACUGCCCCUAAUGCCCCAGAACAAUAGUGGCAAAAUAUGAACUAAUGAUCUGGAAAUUUCAUGCAGAACAGUCAGAAGUGUAUAAAGUAGCUAGGUCUG